RNAcentral lists this ribosomal RNA (253 nucleotides) under uncultured bacterium. Its description in RNAcentral is "partial 16S ribosomal RNA". It matches the Rfam family "Bacterial small subunit ribosomal RNA", at positions 524 to 776 of the family's 1533-position model. The record is from RNAcentral.
UACGGAAGGGGCAAGCGUUGUUCGGAAUCAUUGGGCGUAAAGGGCGCGUAGGUGGUUCUGUAUGUCUACCGUGAAAGCGUACGGCUCAACCGUAUUUUGUCGGUAGAAACUGCAGGACUUGAGGCUGGGAGGGGCUGGUGGAAUUCCCUGUGUAGCGGUGAAAUGCGUAGAUAUCUGGAGGAACGCCGGUGGCGAAGGCGGCGUCCUGGACCAACACUGACACUGAUGAGCGAAAGCCAGGGGAGCAAACGGG